GACGAACGCUGGCGGCGUGCUUAACACAUGCAAGUCGAACGAAGAGCGACGGAAGCUUGCUUCUAUCAAUCUUAGUGGCGCACGGGUGAGUAACGCGUAAUCAACCUGCCCUUCAGAGGGGGACAACAGUUGGAAACGACUGCUAAUACCGCAUACGAUCUAACCUCGGCAUCGAGGAUAGAUGAAAGGUGGCCUCUACAUGUAAGCUAUCACUGAAGGAGGGGAUUGCGUCUGAUUAGCUAGUUGGAGGGGUAACGGCCCACCAAGGCGAUGAUCAGUAGCCGGUCUGAGAGGAUGAACGGCCACAUUGGGACUGAGACACGGCCCAGACUCCUACGGGAGGCAGCAGUGGGGAAUCUUCCGCAAUGGACGAAAGUCUGACGGAGCAACGCCGCGUGAGUGAUGACGGCCUUCGGGUUGUAAAGCUCUGUUAAUCGGGACGAAAGGCCUUCUUGCGAAUAGUGAGAAGGAUUGACGGUACCGGAAUAGAAAGCCAUGGCUAACUACGUG
RNAcentral lists this ribosomal RNA (510 nucleotides) under uncultured bacterium. Its description in RNAcentral is "partial 16S ribosomal RNA". It matches the Rfam family "Bacterial small subunit ribosomal RNA", at positions 28 to 507 of the family's 1533-position model. The record is from RNAcentral.